UAGGGAAUCUUCCACAACUGUUACGCAAGUCUGAUGGAGCAACGCCGCGUGAGUGAAGAAGGUCUUCGGAUCGUAAAACUCUGUUGUUAGAGAAGAACACGAGUGAGAGUAACUGUUCAUUCGAUGACGGUAUCUAACCAGCAAGUCACGGCUAACUACGUGCCAGCAGCCGCGGUAAUACGUAGGUGGCAAGCGUUGUCCGGAUUUAUUGGGCGUAAAGGGAACGCAGGCGGUCUUUUAAGUCUGAUGUGAAAGCCUUCGGCUUAACCGGAGUAGUGCAUUGGAAACUGGAAGACUUGAGUGCAGAAGAGGAGAGUGGAACUCCAUGUGUAGCGGUGAAAUGCGUAGAUAUAUGGAAGAACACCAGUGGCGAAAGCGGCUCUCUGGUCUGUAACUGACGCUGAGGUUCGAAAGCGUGGGUAGCAAACAGGAUUAGAUACCCUGGUAGUCCACGCCGUAAACGAUGAAUGCUAGGUGUUGGAGGGUUUCCGCCCUUCAGUGCCGCAGCUAACGCAAUAAGCAUUCCGCCUGGGGAGUACGACCGCAAGGUUG
Molecule: ribosomal RNA, 552 nt
Filed under: uncultured bacterium
Lineage: Bacteria
Description: bacterial SSU rRNA
Rfam family: Bacterial small subunit ribosomal RNA
Source: RNAcentral